RNAcentral lists this unclassified non-coding RNA (1714 nucleotides) under Hevea brasiliensis (rubber tree). Lineage: Eukaryota; Viridiplantae; Streptophyta; Magnoliopsida; Malpighiales; Euphorbiaceae. The record is from RNAcentral.
GCUAAGUCAAAUUUUAUUACCUUAUAACGCACCGAAAUAACGGACAAACAACGAACGGUCCGUUACACCCAAAAGCCAAAGAUUCCGUUGAAUAGUUGUUUCUGUCCCUCUCAUCAUGUCCUUGUGCAAUAGCUUUGUUUCAUGUCUGUUUCAUCAUCUUUGAGAUCCCACCCUCCCCUCUAGGGUAGAAUUCAAGCAAAUCCAAAUCGAAAUUCAGCCUUCAGUUCGGAGUUAGAAGAUGGAAAACAACAACUGCAGCUUUAUCUCAUGCGAUAAGCUGGAUCGUGUGGCCAACUGGGUGGGGAGCAACGUGGCCUCCGCAUUCUUCGCUUCCCUCGAACGCUGCUCUUGCAUCAACCUCAAUACCACCGACCUCGACGAUGACGACGAAGAGGCCAAGGAUCGACCUCUCAUGCUCUCCAAGCCCACUGUCCACGAUAACCCCGACGCCUAUCUCACCGCCGCCGCCUCCACCAACUCCGUUGCCCAUUAGUUCACUGUUUGAUGAUAAUAAUUAUGAUUAUCCAUCAUAUAGGGUUCGUUUCCUUUUGUGCCUCUUUCUACAAAAUACUCCUGCAUAUAAAUGUGAUGAGUUAUCCUAGAAAGUGUCCUGGGCUGCAUUUUGUUGUUCUUAAUUAAUUAAUUAAUCAAUCAAGCAACAUUUACGUUUUUAUAGAAAUUUGGGGGCUUUUAAUGUAAAUAUUUCUCUGAGACUAAUCGUGGUUCGUGGGUUCUCUCUGAAAUUGAUGCUUGAUUGCUCUUUCUUGGGAUGAGAAUGAGGUUCGAUUUCCCUUCUAUGGGGAUAAUUUAGCCAUAUUGUUUUGGAUGCACCUAAGACUGUCAUAAGAUUUCUAAGCUGCUUUCUUUGUAGGGGAAUUUUCUAUUCAUUUGCAGCAGUGGCACAUGAAUAUGUUUAGCUAUUUGAAAUGUACUAUCCAAAACGUCUAUUGGUUUUGCCUUAUAAUCAUAUGAUGUGGGGGAGGAUGAUUUCAAUAAGAUAAAUGGCCAUAUGACAACCGUUUUACAUUUGUCACAAGCCUCCACCAUGGACUGUAAUAGAAUCUAGAUUCAUAUCGAUUUAAUCAUGCAAAUGCAGAAUUAUCUUGCCUCUGUGCCUGUACAAGUUGAAAUGAGCAUGCCUGUGAAUCUGUUAUAACUAAUGUUGUAAGAAAUUUAAUUUUUAUUUAGUAUUCUAUAUUGCAUUGUGGCUUAGUAGUCCAAAAAGUACUUUUCACUGCUUCAAAACCAGAUGUCAUCAUUUAGCCUUGUUACCAUAUACUUUUGGAGUGAACUAAGUGCACGUUUCCCUUUAUUUCCAUUUAAUUAUCAUUUUUGAGGCAUUAACCGAGUUGUUGCUGAGCAACAAGGUGCCUGUUUAUUUCCGGUGCUCCCUUUGAAUGGAAGCUGAAAUCAUUAUCAUGCAGGUUCAGUAAGUGGGAUUUUUGUGUGUGGGAUUUUUGCUUUGAAGAGAUUUAAUCCUCACACCUAUGUAGUGUGAACUGAAGUUUUAUGGCCUUGUACUGGUUUUCAUUCUUCAUUCAUCCUGAAGUCCUGCUUUUUCCUGACUUGAUAAUUCAGUAGCCUUAGAUGGAAUUCUGCAGCAAAAUGCAAUUUUAACUGUAUAUAAACUGGUGGAAAUUGGAUAUUUGUUUUGAGCUUGAUAUUUGUCUAGUUUAAGGGUGUUUUUAAUAGAUUGGCUGUGAAGAUUACUACU